RNAcentral lists this ribosomal RNA (207 nucleotides) under uncultured bacterium. RNAcentral describes it as "partial 16S ribosomal RNA". It matches the Rfam family "Bacterial small subunit ribosomal RNA", at positions 568 to 774 of the family's 1533-position model. The record is from RNAcentral.
UGCGCAGGCGGUUAUAUAAGACAGAUGUGAAAUCCCCGGGCUCAACCUGGGAACUGCAUUUGUGACUGUAUAGCUAGAGUACGGCAGAGGGGGAUGGAAUUUCGCGUGUAGCAGUGAAAUGCGUAGAUAUGCGGAGGAACACCGAUGGCGAAGGCAAUCCCCUGGGCCUGUACUGACGCUCAUGCACGAAAGCGUGGGGAGCAAACA